UACGUAUGGAGCAAGCGUUAUCCGGAUUUACUGGGUGUAAAGGGAGUGUAGGUGGCCAUGCAAGUCAGAAGUGAAAAUCCGGGGCUCAACCCCGGAACUGCUUUUGAAACUGUAAGGCUGGAGUGCAGGAGGGGUGAGUGGAAUUCCUAGUGUAGCGGUGAAAUGCGUAGAUAUUAGGAGGAACACCAGUGGCGAAGGCGGCUCACUGGACUGUAACUGACACUGAGGCUCGAAAGCGUGGGGAGCAAACAGGAUUAGAUACCCCGGUAGGCUGACUGACU
RNAcentral lists this ribosomal RNA (281 nucleotides) under Lachnospira eligens. RNAcentral describes it as "partial 16S ribosomal RNA". It matches the Rfam family "Bacterial small subunit ribosomal RNA", at positions 524 to 805 of the family's 1533-position model. Lineage: Bacteria; Bacillati; Bacillota; Clostridia; Lachnospirales; Lachnospiraceae. The record is from RNAcentral.